Molecule: ribosomal RNA, 496 nt
Filed under: uncultured bacterium
Lineage: Bacteria
Description: partial 16S ribosomal RNA
Rfam family: Bacterial small subunit ribosomal RNA
Source: RNAcentral
GAUGAACGCUGGCGGCGUGCCUAAUACAUGCAAGUCGAGCGAACGGACGAGAAGCUUGCUUCUCUGAUGUUAGCGGCGGACGGGUGAGUAACACGUGGAUAACCUACCUAUAAGACUGGGAUAACUUCGGGAAACCGGAGCUAAUACCGGAUAAUAUUUUGAACCGCAUGGUUCAAAAGUGAAAGACGGUCUUGCUGUCACUUAUAGAUGGAUCCGCGCUGCAUUAGCUAGUUGGUAAGGUAACGGCUUACCAAGGCAACGAUGCAUAGCCGACCUGAGAGGGGGACCGGCCCACUGGGAACUGGGAACGGGCCCGGCUCCCUCGGGGGGGCCGCGUGUGGGAUCUCUCCGAAAGGGGGGAAGACCAAAAGGGGGAACCCGGGGGGGGGGAGAAAGGUUUGGGGAUUUAAAAACUCUUUUAUAGGGGAAGAAAAUAUUGGUAGGAAACUGGCCAACUCUGAAGGGUACCAAAAAAAAAAGCCCCGGUAAACUACGG